AACGAACGCUGGCGGCGCGCCUAAUACAUGCAAGUCGAGCGAGAAGACGUAGCAAUACGUUUGUAGAGCGGCGAACGGGUGAGGAAUACAUGGGUAACCUACCCUCGAGUGGGGAAUAACUAGCCGAAAGGUUAGCUAAUACCGCGUACGCUCCUUGGACUUCGGUUCAGGGAGGAAAGCGAUACCGUGGGUAUCGCGCUCUUGGAUGGGCUCAUGUCCUAUCAGCUUGUUGGNGAGGUAACGGCUCACCAAGGCUUCGACGGGUAGCUGGUCUGAGAGGACAAUCAGCCACACUGGCACUGCGACACGGGCCAGACUCCUACGGGAGGCAGCAGUAAGGAAUAUUGCGCAAUGGGCGAAAGCCUGACGCAGCGACGCCGCGUGGGGGAUGAAGGUCUUCGGAUUGUAAACCCCUUUCGGGAGGGAAGAUGGAACGAGCAAUCGUUCGGACGGUACCUCCAGAAGCAGCCACGGCUAACUUCGUGCCA
Molecule: ribosomal RNA, 488 nt
Filed under: uncultured bacterium
Lineage: Bacteria
Description: bacterial SSU rRNA
Rfam family: Bacterial small subunit ribosomal RNA
Source: RNAcentral